This 460-nucleotide ribosomal RNA is filed under the name uncultured bacterium. RNAcentral's name for it is "partial 16S ribosomal RNA". It matches the Rfam family "Bacterial small subunit ribosomal RNA", at positions 338 to 795 of the family's 1533-position model. The record is from RNAcentral.
CCUACGGGGGGCAGCAGUGAGGAAUAUUGGUCAAUGGACGAGAGUCUGAACCAGCCAAGUAGCGUGAAGGAUGACUGCCCUAUGGGUUGUAAACUUCUUUUAUAAAGGAAUAAAACGAGGCACGUGUGCCUUUCUGCAUGUACUUUAUGAAUAAGGAUCGGCUAACUCCGUGCCAGCAGCCGCGGUAAUACGGAGGAUCCGAGCGUUAUCCGGAUUUAUUGGGUUUAAGGGGAGCGUAGACGGGUUGUUAAGUCAGUGGUGAAAGGUUGCGGCUAAACCGUAAAAUUGCAAUUGAUACUGGCAGUCUUGAGUACAGUUGAGGUAGGCGGAAUGCGUGGUGUAGCGGUGAAAUGCUUAGAUAUCACGAAGAACCCCGAUUGCGAAGGCAGCUUACUAAACUAUGACUGACAUUGAUGCUCGAAAGUGUGGGUAUCAAACAGGAUUAGAUACCCUUGUAGUC